UGAUAGGAAGCUAAGUUUUACCCUUGGAGCCAGCCGCCGAAGGUGGGGUCAAUGAUUGGGGUGAAGUCGUAACAAGGUAGCCGUAUCGGAAGGUGCGGCUGGAUCACCUCCUUU
Molecule: ribosomal RNA, 114 nt
Filed under: Aquibacillus salsiterrae
Lineage: Bacteria; Bacillati; Bacillota; Bacilli; Caryophanales; Bacillaceae
Description: Bacterial small subunit ribosomal RNA
Rfam family: Bacterial small subunit ribosomal RNA
Source: Rfam by way of RNAcentral